This is a long non-coding RNA of Poecilia latipinna (sailfin molly), 429 nucleotides long. RefSeq lists it as uncharacterized. The record is from RefSeq and is a predicted model, not a curated record. The transcript is spliced from 4 exons. NCBI's taxonomy places the organism in Eukaryota, Metazoa, Chordata, Actinopteri, Cyprinodontiformes, Poeciliidae.
AAGCAGAAAGAUUAAGUCUGAACAGACCAAAUGGAUGAGACCUUGGCAAAGCAGUAAAUGUCAUCAUUAAUGGACAAACAUGACAGACAGCAGCAUUAUAGUUCCUACAGUUUGACAAACACAGAAACAAGAGGUCUGCAUGAUAAGGUUACGACUGGCUUCGGAAAUUUAACGCGUUGUUUACUGAAAUUCAAAGGCAUUAUUCAGCGUUAAACAGUGGAGAAAUUCUUGAGCAGCAUAGUUAGUGUCACUGGCAGUUUGGUCAUUAGCUUAGUGUGAGCCAUCAAGCACUGCAGUUUAAGUCACAGUAACAACAGUGGUCAUCUUCCAGUUUUAGUACGUAAAAUUGGCAACAAAGUGGUUGAGAUUGUUGUAGAGACUAAUCUAUCACAAGCCAUUACAAAAAUAAUUAUCAAUUUCCCAUUUAAA